This 72-nucleotide transfer RNA is filed under the name Bos taurus (domestic cattle). It matches the Rfam family "tRNA". Rfam says of the family: Transfer RNA (tRNA) molecules are approximately 80 nucleotides in length. Their secondary structure includes four short double-helical elements and three loops (D, anti-codon, and T loops). Lineage: Eukaryota; Metazoa; Chordata; Mammalia; Artiodactyla; Bovidae. The record is from Rfam by way of RNAcentral. RNAcentral also lists the same sequence under 3 other names.
UCCCCAGUAGCUUAGAUGGUAAAGCAUCUGCCUGCAAUGCAAGAGAUCCAGGUUCAAUCCUUUGGUUGGGAA